Molecule: long non-coding RNA, 340 nt
Filed under: Mytilus galloprovincialis (Mediterranean mussel)
Lineage: Eukaryota; Metazoa; Mollusca; Bivalvia; Mytilida; Mytilidae
Source: RNAcentral
GUGCGGUGACCAUCUUCAUAAUUUAUUAAACACAUAAAACACAAGACAAAUGUCCUCAAAUAGUUUUCCCAACUAAUGGUAUCAGACAGUUCAUUCAAAUAAUACACAAUGGCAUCAGUUCAUUCAAUUAACAUACGAUCUACAAAAGAAAAGCACAUAAUUAAAAUAUGAACUCUACAUAUAUAUAAGGCAUGAACUGUUAAACUGAAGAUUUAUCUUCCUAUACACAAAUACACUACUCGUUAGAUGGUCUCCACCCUUGUCGAUAACUUUUCUCGUGCACGCACGACUUUAAAUACUAACGGAACUUCUUACUCUAUUGUUAUUACAAUUAGCCCGC